CAAACAUCUAUUUUUCCCACCUCGAGGUGUGAGAUAAUUGGAGUGAAUAGCAACACUUUACCCCUUUGACAAACGAGUUCAACGCAAAUUGCUACCUUUGCACCCUGAAAAAACCCAAUCGAAGGUCAGACAAUUAGGUAAACUACAGGUGUCUCCAAGCAGCAGGCAAUUUUUACGUCCCCGAGGCCGGUGGUGGCUGGUCCACUCCAGGAAUCUGAGGCGAGGGAGGUCCCUCCGCCCCCUUUGGACAUCGAGGGGGCCCUGGUGUACUCCGUUCGUUCCAUCCUGGAUUCGAGGCAUCGGGCAGGGGGCCUUCAGUACCUUGUGGAGUGGGAGGGAUACGGUCCGGAGGAGAGGUGCUGGGUCCCGGUUGCGGAUGUUUUGGACCCCGAACUGCUGCGGGAGUUUCACCAUCGCCGGCUGGAUCGCCCUGCGCUUCGCCCUCCGCAUCGUCCUGAGGUCGGUGUCGGCGUGCCACUGGAGCCGCUCGUCAAGGGAGGGGUACUGUCACGACUUCCGCCGAAGUCGGCUCCUCUCCUUGUUCAGGCGGCGUUCGGCGAUCGACGUCACCGGCUUUCUAGCCAUCGCCGCUCCAUUUCUCAUAUGUCCAUUUGUUUUGUCUUGUUCCAUACACACCUGGUUUACAUUCCCCAAUCAAUCUACAUGUAUUUAGUCCUCUGUUCCCCAUCAUGUCUUUAUGUGUAAUUGUUUAUUGUUACGUGGGAUAUUUGUCAGGCGCUGCACUUUUGUUAUUAGACCGUGUUUUUGGCACUAGUAUGUUUUAGGUGCUGUCGUUGUUGACCGGUAUUAAAGUGCGCCUGUUUAUUAUACUCCAAGGGAAGCUUCUUCUUCAUGACACCCACCAGUAUUAUUAGAAACAUCAGUCAAGCUGUUAGGGCCUUGCAAACAGAAGUGCCUGCUGAUGUCCCAUUCCCCAUGUGAUGUAUGGUUAGCCCUCACUCGACAAACAUGUAGGGCAAGGGCCAUGCACCAGGGCACCCCUUGUUGAUGAAGUGGCACCACCCUAAACAAAUUCCCACAAAGGCAGGAAGGGCAGGGGCAUUGAACCCCUACUCCCUAGAAAAAGGCCUUCCCGUCCACUCAGCCCUGUGUACAGGGCAUUGACUGUAAGGACACACAGGGAGGAGCACAACGAUGGGCAAUACAGGCUGUUUUUCCUGUUGAAGCAUUCUUUGUGUGAGAGAAGAGGACUCCUCUCUGGAAACACAGGAAGGCUCACCAGGGGUCGGCAGAGGAAUGUAAACACACACAUAGACUCCCUCCACACCACAGAGUGUGCUGUGUGCAAACUUGACAUAUCCCAUAGGUCUUCCCCCGGAAUGAAAAACAUAAACAUCACGCUGAUUUCACUUGUGUGGAUAAUGGACGGAUGUUAACUUGCUUACCCGUAAAACUUCAAUUAAAUGCUGAGUCUCAAAUAGACUUCAGCCAACCAAGUCAUAGACGGUUCUCUCUGCUGCCGCACGGCAAGUGGUACCGUUGCACCAAGUCUGGACCCAACAGGACCCAGCUUCUAUCCCCAAGCCAUAAGGCUGCUAAAUAGUUAGUUAAAUAGUUAACCUAAUUGCUACCCAGACUAAAAAGGCAAAAAAGAUCAUCAAGGACAACAACCACCCGAGCCACUGCCUUUUCACCCCGCUAUCAUCCAGAAGGCGAGGCCAACAGACUGUUAAAUAGCCAUCACUAGCACAUUAGAGUCUGCUGCCCUAUAUACAUAGACUUGAAAUCACUGGUGACUUUAGUAAUGGAACACUAGUCACUUUAAUAAUCUUUACAUACUGCUUUACUCAUCUCAUAUGUAUAUACUGUAUUCUAUUCUACUGUAUCUUAUUCUAUGCCGCUCUGACAUUGCUCAUCCAAAUAUUUAUAUAUUCUUAAUUCCAUUCCUUUACUUAAGAUUUGUGUGUAUUGUUGUGAAAUGUUAGAUAUUACUUGUUAGAUAUUACUGCACUGUUGGAGCUAGAAACACACGCAUUUCGCUACACUCGCAAUAACAUCUGCUAAACACGUGUAUGUGACCAAAAAAAUGUGAUUUGAUUAGAUUUUGACUAUCGGCAUUGACCCUUUUUGCACUAACUUUUUUUGACUCAUCACAUACGCUGCUGCUACUGUUUACUAUCUGUCACUUUACUCCGAGUUAUAUGUCACCUAAAACACUCACCCCGCCCUCAACCUCAAUGCUCUCCAGAGGGUAGUGCGGUCUGCACAACACAUCACCGGGGGCAAACUAACUGCCCUCCAAGACACCUACCGCACCCGAUGUCACAGGAAGGUCAAAAAGAUCAUCAAGGACAACAACCACUGCCUGUUCACCCCGCUAUCAUCCAGAAGGCGAGGUCAGUACAGGUGCAUCAAAGCUGGGACCGAGAGACUGAAAAACAGCUUCUAUCUCAAAGCCAUCAGACUGUUAAACAGCCAUCACUAACAUUGAGUGGCUGCUGCGAACAUACAGACACAAAUCUCUGGCCACUUAAAUAAAUUGACUUAAUAAAUGUAUCACUAGUCACUUUAAAUAACGCCACUUUAAUAAGGUUUACAUAUCCUACAUUACUUAUCUCAUAUGUAUAUACUGUAUUCUAUACCAUCUACUGCAUCUUGCCUAUGCAGCACGGCCAUCGCUCAUCCAUAUAUUUAUAUGUACAUAUUCUUAUUCAUCCCUUUACAUUUGUGUGUAUAAGGUAGUCAUUGUGAAUUUGUUAGAUUACUGUUAGAUUACUUACGGGAAGGACCCGUAAGUAAGCAUUUCACUGUUAGUCUACACCUGUUGUUUACAAAGCAUGUAGUGAAUAAAAUUGUAUUUUAUUUGGCCAUGCAUGACUGACCGUAGCGGCAAAGCCAGCAAAAUGCAAAGGGUUUGUUUCAAACUGUCUCUUUUCAUGUACUGUAGUAUCUAAAAGACAGGUCUUCUGCUGCCAAAUCUGUACCCCUAGCCACUAGCUAAAUCCACACAGAUUUACCCAUGACUUGACUUUGGAACAUUGUUAUUUUUUCUUUGCAUCAGGGUUUUUUCCCAUCCUGCCAAAUGAUGUUGGUUGUUCUGUUAGAAGUGAGCUCGGGAUCAAAAGGAGGGAUGGUGUGAUGGGUGUAUGGGCAUGGGGGGGUGUUGCAGCUGUCUGGAUCAAAUGGAUCAGAGUCAACUGGGGUGGGGUGGUUUAGGCAGGGGGCUCAUAGGGGACACCUAUUCUUCUGUGUCAUAGCCAGCCUGCACGGCACAUAUGCCAGUCCCAAGGCCACUCUGAAAGCCAUGCCCCCAUGCAGCCUUCUCAACUGUAACUCUGUGUAAUAACAUGGCCUGUUCUUCCAUUAAUGGUUUCCAUGAUGCGGCCGUCCUCUUCACUCCACUGAAAUGUGUGUGAGUGAUAUAUAUAUAUAUAUGUCCCCAGCAGACACACGUUGUGAAUGUGUGUACAUGAGCACUUUGUUUGAGUUUUGUUUUCAGACACCAAGACAAUAGAAAUGCCAAAACAGAUGUAGAAACAGUUAGAGUGGUGUUGCGGAUGUUUGUACUCCCUCUCUCCCCCUCGCCUUGUGAUUGCACAUCAACGUUGUAGAGUAAGUGUUAAAGUGCCUGUGAUUGAUUUGGUUGUUUAGCUCCUUGAAGCAGUAGUCUGUUAAUGAAGGAGCCCUGAACUCGGACUGCAGAGAGUGGUGAGAUCACAGACAGCCCCUGGACAACACUGUCCUUGGAACAAUGGUUAACCCUAAUUAGAAGUGUUAUUUGUAACAUAGGCAGCUUUUUGUGCAGCCACUGGCCAUUGUCAUUUAACCCAAAAGGCGAUAAUGCUUGAUAGUGGGUUAGGUGUUUGAAGGUUUUAAUGGUACCUGGUAAAAGUGGUGAACAGUUGAGAACAGCUGACAUGGGUUAAGGAAGUGAGAGAAGCACUGUCAUGGCAAAUACACACACUCCCUACUGUUUGUUUGCUCCCAGCUUGGGGAGGUGGGCUGAGCUGGUUUCAACACUGACUGAUUUAUAGUUUGGCGCUGUCUAUCAAGCAGCUGACAGAUGGACAUUGCACUGCAACCUCAGCAGCACAGCAGACACAUCACUUUCCAAACUCCAUCCAUUUCACUACCAACUGGAAUGCUAAGGAUAAGUCAAUGGGGCAUUCUUUUCUACACUUUUGACUACUUUAAUACACAUAUAAGUGAAUUUGUCCCAAUACUUUUGGUCCCCUAAAAUGGGGGACUAUGUACAAAAAGUGCUUUAAUUUCUAAAUGGAAAAGACCCUCAAAUUAAAGCUGACAGUCUGCACUUUAUUGUCACAGUCAUUGUAUCAUUUCAAAUCGAAAGUCCUGGAGUACAGAACCAAAAC
RNAcentral lists this long non-coding RNA (4334 nucleotides) under Salmo salar (Atlantic salmon). RNAcentral's name for it is "lncRNA (ENSSSAG00000095599.1)". Lineage: Eukaryota; Metazoa; Chordata; Actinopteri; Salmoniformes; Salmonidae. The record is from RNAcentral.